Molecule: ribosomal RNA, 526 nt
Filed under: uncultured bacterium
Lineage: Bacteria
Description: bacterial SSU rRNA
Rfam family: Bacterial small subunit ribosomal RNA
Source: RNAcentral
ACAUCCAGAGAAUUUAGCAGAGAUGCUUUAGUGCCUUCGGGAACUCUGAGACAGGUGCUGCAUGGCUGUCGUCAGCUCGUGUUGUGAAAUGUUGGGUUAAGUCCCGNAACGAGCGCAACCCUUAUCCUUUGUUGCCAGCACGUAAUGGUGGGAACUCAAAGGAGACUGCCGGUGAUAACCGGAGGAAGGUGGGGAUGACGUCAAGUCAUCAUGGCCCUUACGAGUAGGGCUACACACGUGCUACAAUGGCGCAUACAAAGAGAAGCGACCUCGCGAGAGCAAGCGGACCUCAUAAAGUGCGUCGUAGUCCGGAUUGGAGUCUGCAACUCGACUCCAUGAAGUCGGAAUCGCUAGUAAUCGUAAAUCAGAAUGUUACGGUGAAUACGUUCCCGGGCCUUGUACACACCGCCCGUCACACCAUGGGAGUGGGUUGCAAAAGAAGUAGAUAGCUUAACCUUCGGGGAGGGCGUUUACCACUUUGUGAUUCAUGACUGGGGUGAAGUCGUAACAAGGUAAGCGUAGUGCU